GCAAGUCGAGCGGUAACAGAAAGUAGCUGGUGCUUUGCUGAAGAGCGGCGGACGGGUGAGUAAUGCUUGGGAACAUGCCUUGAGGUGGGGGACAACAGUUGGAAACGACUGCUAAUACCGCAUAAUGUCUACGGACCAAAGGGGGCUUCGGCUCUCGCGUAUAGAUUGGCCCAAGUGGGAUUAGCUAGUUGGUGAGGUAAUGGCUCACCAAGGCGACGAUCCCUAGCUGGUUUGAGAGGAUGAUC
RNAcentral lists this ribosomal RNA (245 nucleotides) under uncultured bacterium. RNAcentral describes it as "partial 16S ribosomal RNA". It matches the Rfam family "Bacterial small subunit ribosomal RNA", at positions 57 to 305 of the family's 1533-position model. The record is from RNAcentral.